This 209-nucleotide ribosomal RNA is filed under the name uncultured bacterium. Its description in RNAcentral is "partial 16S ribosomal RNA". It matches the Rfam family "Bacterial small subunit ribosomal RNA", at positions 568 to 774 of the family's 1533-position model. The record is from RNAcentral.
UGCGUAGGUGGUUUGGUAAGUUAGAUGUGAAAUUCCUGGGCUUAACCUGGGGGACUGCGUCUGAUACUGCUAAGCUAGAGUACUGUAGAGGGAAGUGGAAUUUCCGGUGUAGCAGUGAAAUGCGUAGAUAUCGGAAGGAACAUCAGUGGCGAAGGCGACUUCCUGGACAGAUACUGACACUGAGGCACGAAAGCGUGGGGAGGCAAACA